RNAcentral lists this ribosomal RNA (2184 nucleotides) under Perichaena corticalis. RNAcentral describes it as "partial small subunit ribosomal RNA". It matches the Rfam family "Eukaryotic small subunit ribosomal RNA", at positions 26 to 1647 of the family's 1831-position model. The record is from RNAcentral. Lineage: Eukaryota; Evosea; Eumycetozoa; Trichiida; Trichiidae.
AUAUGCUUGUUCCAAAGCUUAAGCCAUGCAUGUCUAAGAACAAUCGAUCUCAGUGAAUCUGCGAACGGCUCCGUAUAUCUGUGGUCACCCGCCGCCCUCCGCCCGGAGGGGACGCAAUUCCCCCCUCCGGCAGCGGAUAACCACGGUAAUUCUGCGGCUAAUACGUGUACGAAGCGAGGGGCGUCUGCGUAUGCGGUCGCCUCCGGCCUUGCCGCCCAUCUAAGGCGCGGGCUUCGGCCCUCCGGCUUGAUGCAGGCAAGUUGCCCUACCGGUCACCUCGUGGCUGGAGUAGGCGCCGGACUUCAGACCUAUCAACUAUACGGCUUGGGCGAGUCCCUCCGUGGUUGCGACGGGUACAGAGGAUCAGGGUUCGGUCCUGGAGAGGUAGCCUGAGAGAUCGCUACUACUUCUAAGGAAGGCAGCAGGCGCGCAACGUUCCCAAUGGGGACACCCUGAGGACGUGACGGAAUAUAUCAAUGCUCCACCUAUAAAAGUGGGGCAAUUGAAAUGGGGACUAGCCAAACCCCUUACCGAGUAACGAUUGGAGGACAAGUCUGGUUAAUCUAGCCAGGUGUCAAGACCGAAGGGGGAUGCGGCAAUAGGCGCAUUUUCUUAGGUCAAGGCAGAAAGCAGGGAUAAGCUCCUGUUGUACAACUGUAAAUUGCAGGGAAAGCUAGGUACGGGUGUAGAUACCGCGGUUCCUGGGAAACUGGGAGCGCAGCAGGGCCUUCGGGCCUGGAUGGUGACAACGCUACAUUCAGGGGCCAUUGUCCGGCCACGCUUCUUCGGCCUUGUGCCGAGGGGGCACCUCCCUAGCCUAUCUGCAGCCAAAGCGUUCUGUUCCCCUCGGGGGGGGCGUUUGCGAGGUUCAGAGACUAUAAUCAGUUGGGCGCAAGCUUAAGGAAUAGUCCACUCCCCCCGGUGACGGGGCCAACGGAAGUAGGGGGAAGCAGCUUACCCCUGAGGCACGUUGGGUCCUUCGAAGCGAGGGUUCAUUCGCAAUCCCCUCGCGAGGUAUAGGACGGUACGUAGGGCCAGCACCCGCGGUAAUUCCAGCUCCAAUAGCAUCUAGUUAAGUUGUUGCAGUUAAAACGCUCGUAGUCCAAGUUGGUGCGUACGCCGCCCGACUAGUAGCGGCCGGCACAGCGUCCCCCCUCUUCUGGGGCCGGGCGCUCCCCGGCUGUCAACCUCGGGAGCUCGGGCGUACCACUAUACUUGCCGGAGCCUUAAAGCCGCUGGCGGUCCUUCAGUGGUCCGCCUCCUGGCCUCCGGCGCUUUACUUUGAGUAAAUGUGAGCGCUCCACGCAGGCCACUUUGGCCCUUGCAACCCGCAGCAAAGAAUAAUCUUACGGGCCCCCUCAGAUUGCGCCUAGCGAGGGGGGGGCCAAUCGAUCGAUGGGUUGGAUCGGGGUGGGCCACAUGGCGGGGUUAGGGGUGAAAUCCAUUGAUCCUCGCCAGGUGAUCGAACGCGAAAGCAGCCCACAAGUACCUCUCUAUUGAUCAAGAACGAAAGUCUGGGGAUCGAAGAUGAUUAGAUACCAUCGUAGUCCAGACCCUAAACGAUGCCGGCCACGGAUGGGCCGCCGUCCAUAUCGACCCAGUCCGAACCUUACGGGAAACCAUAAGCGUUUGGGCUCUGGGGGGAGUAUGGUCGCAAGGCUGAAACUUAAAGGAAUUGACGGAAGAUCACACAAGGAGUGGAGCCUGCGGCUUAAUUUGACUCAACACGGGGAAACUCACUAGGGCAAGAGGGGGGGGUGAUCGACAGCUAAGCAGGGCUUUCUUGAUUCCCCCAGUGGUGGUGCAUGGUCGUUCUUAGUUCGUGGAUUGAUUUGUCUGGUCUAUUCCGUUAACGAGCGAGAACCUGCCCUUCGUUGUUCGGUCCUUGGGCUAGCCAGGACUGCUGGCGCAAGUCGGCGGUCUAGGCGUCGCGCCCCUGGGUACCCUUGCAUACUGGAGGGAUCGGUAGCGAGAAGUUGCCGGAAGUUGGUCAAUAACAGGUCAGUGAUGCCCUUAGAUGCUCUAGGCUGCACGCGCGCUACAAUGGGGGUGGCAACGGGUGCCUGCGCCUAACCGGCGGCGGGUAAUCCGCCGAAACACCCUCGUAUCUGGGACCGAGCCAUGUAAGCUGGCUCGCAAACAAGGAAUUUCUAGUAGUCGUGGGUCAUCAGCCCUCGACGAUUU